CUGCUCGACGCUGGUCCUCCUCCGUUGAAUGCCCAUGUCCUCUCUACCGAACCCACUGAGCGUUGCUGGCUUGUUCGGGCACGGAGCAUCGCAUGAGUGGAAUACUUCAUGUUAAGCUCACACUGCAGUCUGCACAAGCUGUUUCUUACAAAGGACGGGGUCACGGGGGACAUAUGGUGGAGCACUACAAAGAGGACAGGUUUAAUGCAAUUGUUCGUCCUGCAAAGAUUUUCACCAGCGCAUCAUAUAAGGUUUGCCCAUAAAGUCCAUAACUAUUUUCAAUCUCCCCUUUUUGAUUUUUUUUGACCAUGGGCUUGGCAUCGCAUGUUCCUUCUAGUAAUUCCUUUCAAUCAUUUUGAGCUCAUACUGAUCAGAACCACAGAAGACACAAAGUAAUCUCACAUAGUUUUAGGAGGAAAAGACAAAAGUAUGUUGCGUGUGACCAUGAAAAGUAAACAUAUGUUAGUAAAGAAAGAACAAACAACCUGACUUUCUCAUAUUGCACUCAGUUAUGCCCCAAACUCAAACAAUUAUCAAACCUUGAUUUACACACUAUCUGUAUUUACAAAUCGUUCUUCAGUCACACAACAUUUCAAUGCAAUGGCGAUAGCGAAACCUUGAUGUUUACUAGUACCAACACACUAUACUACACCUCAAGUAAAUAGCAUACAAAUGUACAAAUAGCAACAAAAAUAUACACACUCUAAGGUGAAUGCAGUAUCAAGCUUUUGGUAAUUCAGAUUUUGUGUGUCCAGGCUUGCCUAUGAUAGCUUUCUUCACUUUUGCUAGUUGGUGCUUUACCUUUGAUCCGACACCAGAUAAGAUAUUAUGCUUUUUAGGCGAUGACUUCUGCCCUGCCUCCCGUUCUUCAAUUUUCAUUGGUGUGUCAUCAGCGAAAUUCUUAGCUUCCUCGUCACCAUUUGUCUUUUUGUCAUAACUCUUCUCUUCUGCAAUGUUUGAUACAUCUUUCUUUGGACUUUGUUCUUCAUCUGUGCUGAACUCUGGCUCUUUUAUAUCCACAGAAUUUUCUUCACUCUCAGGAGCUUCUGUUGGUGAAAUCACAUCGAGAUUAUGUUUCUGAUUGUGUGAUGCCUUUUGUACUGCUCCUUGUUCUUCAAUUUUGGCUUUCGCUUCAUCAGUGAAACUCUUAGCUUCCUGUACAUCCUUUGUCUUCUCAUCAGAAGUUUUCUCUCCUGCCAUAUUUGAUUCAUCUUUCUUUGGACUUUGUUCUUCAAUUAUGCUGAAUUCUGGCUUUGACUGCACAAAAUUUUCUUCAACCUCAGGAGCUUCUUCUGGUGAAGCCACAUCGAGAUCACGUUUCUGAACCUGUGAAUUAAAUGUUUCUUGCUCUUCAUUUGAUUGUGCGUUCACUGUUUGCACAUGGCUAUCAACAGUUUCGUUUACAUUCACUUCUUUGAUCACAGGCUCUCUUAUGGCCAAAUAAUUCUGAUCACCUUCAUCAGAUUCUUUAGGAGAUUUUUGUGCAACUUCCGUUUCCUGCUCCAUCUGCAAAUUAGAUUCUCCUGACUUAUCUAGCAGGUUGUUCUUCUCCAUCACAAUUUGGUCGCCUGCAGAUUCAUCUUGCUUAUCUUGGUCUAUAUGUAAGCUGGAACCAUCUAACUGAAUUUCCAAAGCUUUCUCAGAGUUGUCUAGGUCACUGUUUGAGAACUUAUAGCUUUGUUUUUCAUCCUUGCACUCUGAGACUGCAGAAAUCUCCUUUUCCUGAACCAAAUUUAUCUCAUUGCCCAUAACUGGUUCAGUAAUUUCACCUUUCUGCUCAUCAGAUAUUGCUUCUGCACCUUUGUGCGAGAUAUCAUGCAUAUUUUCUAUCUGUUCUUCUGUAGCUCCACCUGUGGUAGUUAUCUGCUGAUUCUCUUCUUCCUUGUCUACUCCAUUCUCCAGUUCUGCCUCUACAGUACUUUCGCCCUCAAUGAUGGAAGAUUCAUUGGACUCUUCUCUUUUUGUGCUCAGAGGACUUUGAAGAUCAUCAGUGUUAUUAGGAAAAUCCUUUUCAUCACCCAUAUUUGGUUCUGUCGACAAGAGUGUUUGCCCGGAUACUGCAUCAGAACUUCUAUUUUCAGGUAAAUGCUUGUGGUGAAGGUCUGUUCUUCCUUCCUCUAAUGCCUCCUCUUGAGAAACCUUUGGGCUUGUUAUGUCAUCAAGGUUGCUCUUCAAGCUUCCUUCCUCAAUCUGUGUUGUCGCUUCCAUAUGUUCCUGACAAACAGAAUUGGUUGCCUUUUCACCCAGCUUGAUAUCUCUUGUUUCCAUUUCUGUAAUCAGGCCAGAUCCACCAGGUACCACCAGUUCACUGGAAGUUUCACCUUGGACACUGUUUUGGCAUACUGGUGCUUCCAAAUCAUGAGUGUUCCUAUUGAGUUCCUCAUCCUUUUCCAGCUUGAUAUCAUGUGUUUCUUCAGAGCCUUCUAAAUUAUGUUUUCCUUUUUCAGAAAUGAGUUCCUUUUCCACCAUAUUUUCUGUAGGAAUUGGCACCAAGCUUUCUUCCUGCUCCGAGGUGAUCAAAGAACUGUCAUCUUUUGUGGUUUCUUCUUGCUUCUUUUCAGCUUCAAAUUCUGAAUUUCCAUCUGGCUCAUUGCUCUCUUUUCCCAUUAUCAGGUUCAUCAGAAAAUGGGAGACAGGCAAAUCACUUUGUUCAGCUUCGUUUUCUUCUUUCUCCGUGUCACCAGUUUCUUGCUCUUGUAUGUUCUCUUCACCUUGUUCUUUGGUUAUUUGAUUCUCUUCUUGCUCUUCUGAUUCGGUGGGGAGUGGCUUCUCUAGAAACAACUCUCUUUCUGUCACCUCUAACUCAGAUGCCUGUUCAGUUUCAUUUCUGUCCACGGCGGAGUGUGCACGAAGAUCAAACUUAUGAUGUUCAUUGUCUUCGUUUAUACUUUCUCCUGUUGCUGUAACUGCAGGUGAAGCCUCAAGAUUCCUUCCGUUCUCCUCGAUGGUCUCGAGAUUUUCAUCAGAUAGUGCCCCAUCAGCUCUACUAGCCUAGAUUGGAAAAGUGAAAUUAGCUUUAAAAGAACAAACUUAAACCUGCAUUAAUAUUAGCUAAAGAAUUUGUCCACUGACCUUAUCAUAGAUAGCUUCACCGAGUUUGAUUGAUUCAGUGGAUGCUGUAUAGCCAGUCGCUAUUUCCUCAUUCGAGUCAGUUUCAACUUCUCCACCAUUCUGCUUUGUUGCCAACUUGUCAUCUACAACCUGAAUGACAGAAUUUUUUCCGUUUAUUUCUCUUACUAUAAAGUAACAGCCUUAAAAAUUUAUUAAAAGAAGUUUUGACCAGAAAAUUUGGUCGCACAAACUUUUUAAGAGUAUCAGUACUGACCUUUGGAUGAGUGCUCAAGUCCUGCUCAACAUCAUUCUGUUUAGGAUUUUCCACCACAUAUUCUGAAAUGGAACUGAAUCCCUUGUUUUCCUCCACCUCUUCAAUUUCUGUGGGCUGUUUAUCGAUCCUUCCAUGUAUCAUUUCUGCACUUGGGCUCAUGGUAUCAUCCAUUUUAGUAUCUGUGCUGUUACUGGAAUGCAGUCCAGACGCCUCUUCAUCUACAGGUUUGGUCUCAGUUUUGUCAUGAUUAACAUCGGUGUCUUCAUUUUGUAUUUCUUCCUUCUUUUCCACCUCAUCAACGAUCUCUUCUUCUAAUGCUUGAGGGACCUGCAUACCAUCAUUGGGCUUGUUUAUGCAUUCUUCCUCUUCUGAGUGCACUCUGGACUCAAUAUUCUGAGGAACAGCUGUAGGAUCCUGCACAUCAGUUAAUUGUUCAUUUUGCUGAUCAUUAUGAUAUCAUUAAAUAUUGAGAGUGACUGGUAUCUUUGUUUCUUGCACAGCAGGUGAAGAAACAAGCUACUCUGUACCACUGAAAUGACAGACGGAGAUACUGUGUAGAAGGGUUUUUUCUACUGGCUGCAAAUCUCAAGCUCAU
This 3920-nucleotide long non-coding RNA is filed under the name Hordeum vulgare. RNAcentral describes it as "long non-coding RNA (HVUL_LNC014829)". Lineage: Eukaryota; Viridiplantae; Streptophyta; Magnoliopsida; Poales; Poaceae. The record is from RNAcentral.